UACGAAGGGGGCUAGCGUUGCUCGGAAUCACUGGGCGUAAAGGGUGCGUAGGCGGGUUAUUAAGUCAGAGGUGAAAUCCUGGAGCUCAACUCCAGAACUGCCUUCGAUACUGGAGAGCUCGAGUCCGGGAGAGGUGAGUGGAACUGCGAGUGUAGAGGUGAAAUUCGUAGAUAUUCGCAAGAACACCAGUGGCGAAGGCGGCUCACUGGCCCGGUACUGACGCUGAGGUGCGAAAGCGUGGGGAGCAAACAGG
This 253-nucleotide ribosomal RNA is filed under the name uncultured bacterium. RNAcentral describes it as "partial 16S ribosomal RNA". It matches the Rfam family "Bacterial small subunit ribosomal RNA", at positions 524 to 776 of the family's 1533-position model. The record is from RNAcentral.